GGUGAGGUGGCCGAGUGGUUGAAGGCGCACGCCUGGAAAGCGUGUGUACGUUAAUAGCGUACCGAGGGUUCGAAUCCCUCUCUCACCGCCA
RNAcentral lists this transfer RNA (91 nucleotides) under Agitococcus sp. Its description in RNAcentral is "tRNA-Ser". It matches the Rfam family "tRNA". From Rfam's summary of the family: Transfer RNA (tRNA) molecules are approximately 80 nucleotides in length. RNAcentral also lists the same sequence under 3 other names. The record is from RNAcentral. Lineage: Bacteria; Pseudomonadati; Pseudomonadota; Gammaproteobacteria; Moraxellales; Moraxellaceae.